Molecule: ribosomal RNA, 510 nt
Filed under: Triticum aestivum (bread wheat)
Lineage: Eukaryota; Viridiplantae; Streptophyta; Magnoliopsida; Poales; Poaceae
Description: partial small subunit ribosomal RNA
Source: RNAcentral
GGAAGAAGACAAAACUAAAUGAUCCGGUUCAUUAUUGGCAUCCUUGUGAGUCCUUGUGAACAGUUCUGAAGAUAGCUUUUAGAGACUAAUUACAGUGAUAUUUCUCUCAAUCUUUUUCUACAAAAUAGCCUUUUCAUGUGUGUGAGAGAAGUGAGAAGAGCAAUGGGCAGUAGUAGAUGCAAAUCAACCUUGUUCCCAGCUUUCAGAGAAUGAUGCAUGAUGCAGCAGAGAUGGCAUAUCUGUUUUCUCAUGACAUGGGUACUAGUAAUGCAACAACUUGCAGCUGUAUGCCUCUGAAUGUUCCUAAUGGGAGCCUCCUCAUUCUGUGAAUGUGUGUCUGUGUCCUCAAUAGUAUGGUCCUCCUCACCAGAUGUUAUGCAGUAUACACCUUUUUAGUACAAACUUUUAGAAUUUUUUUUAACUUCUCACAAUUAAUAUACAUGAACUUGAUUAUCUUUUUGACAUGUACUGAUAUCAGCUUCGUUGGAUUUUCGUGCGUGUGCUUGUAAC